This 419-nucleotide ribosomal RNA is filed under the name uncultured Nocardioides sp. Its description in RNAcentral is "bacterial SSU rRNA". It matches the Rfam family "Bacterial small subunit ribosomal RNA", at positions 355 to 774 of the family's 1533-position model. Lineage: Bacteria; Bacillati; Actinomycetota; Actinomycetes; Propionibacteriales; Nocardioidaceae. The record is from RNAcentral.
UGGGGAAUAUUGGACAAUGGGCGGAAGCCUGGUCCAGCAACGCCGCGUGAGGGAUGACGGCCUUCGGGUUGUAAACCUCUUUCACCAUUGACGAAGCUGCAUCUUUUGGUAUGGUGACGGUAGGUGGGGAAGAAACACCGGCCAACUACGUGCCAGCAGCCGCGGUAAUACGUAGGGUGCGAGCGUUGUCCGGAAUUAUUGGGCGUAAAGGGCUCGUAGGCGGUUUGUCGCGUCGGGAGUGGAAACAUCCGGCUUAACUGGGUGCUUGCUUUCGAUACGGGCAGACUAGAGGUAUGCAGGGGGAGAACGGAAUUCCUGGUGUAGCGGUGAAAUGCGCAGAUAUCAGGAGGAACACCGGUGGCGAAGGCGGUUCUCUGGGCAUGAUCUGACGCUGAGGAGCGAAAGUGUGGGAGCGAACA